RNAcentral lists this ribosomal RNA (200 nucleotides) under uncultured bacterium. RNAcentral describes it as "partial 16S ribosomal RNA". It matches the Rfam family "Bacterial small subunit ribosomal RNA", at positions 524 to 723 of the family's 1533-position model. The record is from RNAcentral.
UACGUAGGGUGCAAGCGUUGUCCGGAAUUAUUGGGCGUAAAGAGCUCGUAGGCGGUUUGUCGCGUCUGCUGUGAAAAUCAGGGCUUAACCCUGGACCUGCAGUGGGUACGGGCAGACUAGAGUGCGGUAGGGGAGAUCGGAAUUCCUGGUGUAGCGGUGAAAUGCGGCAGAUAUCAGGAGGAACACCGGUGGCGAAGGCG